RNAcentral lists this long non-coding RNA (5946 nucleotides) under Gossypium raimondii (Peruvian cotton). RNAcentral describes it as "long non-coding RNA (GRAI_LNC010194)". The record is from RNAcentral. Lineage: Eukaryota; Viridiplantae; Streptophyta; Magnoliopsida; Malvales; Malvaceae.
UGGAUAUUUUGCUUAAUAGACAUGCUCUUCCAGUAUCUAGCGUCAAAGAAAAAACGGACUUCGUCAGGGAACCGAUGUCUGAAACUGGAAUCGAAGGGUUCAUGAACAUGUUUCUUGAGGAAGAAGCUGACUUUGCUAUAACGAUGAUAGAGGCUUUCGGAGGCAGAAUGGAUGAAAUCCGGGAAAAUGAAUUACCUUACCCACAUAGAGCAGGCAUCUUGUUCGAAUCCACUUACAUUGUCCAAUGGACAAAUGAAGCAGAUGCGGGAACGUACAUAAACUGGAUCCGAAGACUCUACAGUUAUAUGGCCAGUUAUGCUUCCAAGUCUCCGAGAGAAGCAUAUUAUAAUUACAAGGAUCUAGAUCUUGGAACUAACAACAUUAUUGGUUACACAAGUUACGAACAAGCUAGCGUUUGGGGUCUUAAAUAUUUCAAGAAUAACUUCAAAAGAUUGGUGCAAGUAAAGACCAAGGUUGAUCCAAUGAAUUUCUUUAGAAACGAGCAAAGUAUCCCUCCGCUUUGAUCUCUAUGAAAGAAGAAAGGUCGUCAGGGUUGAAGAUUUUAGAGUUUUUUUUUUAAUGAAAUAAUAUUUGGGUGAAAAGUAAUACUAUAUUGUAAAAUAAAUUGUUUCUUUGUCAUUAUAUAUGUCAUGAUGAAUAAUUUAGUGCAUAAUGUAUUAAUUAAAUUAUAAAUUUAUCUUUAUUCUAAAAUAGUUUUUGUGCGGUGAUUAUACUUGAAAGGUCCCUGCAUUACAGGGAUUGGAUCACAUGGUUUGUCAUUUUAAUUUUUUAUUCAAUAAAAAUUUCAAUAAGAAAAAGGAGUUGAAUAAGAUAAUAGGUGUGGGGUAUGCCUGGCAUUUUCGGACCUUUUAGGCACUUACUGUUACCCCUAUCGCGACACGAGGACUUCAAAAACGCAACAUGCCCAACAGACGAUGACAUCAUAACGAGGAGGUUUCCGACGUCACAAUGACACAGUGUCACGACAACGGACGACAUCAUGGUGAGAUGAUUUAGGACAUUGUGACAUGGCGACGUGUUCCCACAUAAAUCAGGUUUCAUUUCCCAGUUAAACUCUGCUACCUUUUCCAGUCAAACUUAGAUUAUUUUAGAGAUAUUUUAGUCAGAUAUUCACACUAAUUUCAACCUAUAUAAGGACUUUAGUAACCCUACAAUCGACAUCUUCAUCAUAUUAAGAUUAAGAGAAGAUUAAGAGAGUUUUUGAAAGAGUUUAAGGGAAUUUCUUAUUUUAGCCAGAGAACUUUAUUUUUUAGGAUUCAGGGUUUUCUGUUUUGGUUAUCUCCAUCUUGUACUCUUCGUUUAUUUGCUCAUUAAGUAAAGCCUAUUUUGCCUGUGAUUUUUUUAUCAUCUCCAAAGGGAUUUUUCCAUGUAAAUAUUUGUGUAUCCAAUUUUAUUUUUCUCUUUUUUGUUGCGUAUUGAUCCACAAUAAACUGGCAUUAGAGCUUAGUUCAUUUUUCACAAUCAAUUCGUUCAGGGAUGACAAUGAGAUAUAAUAUCGAGAAGUUCGAUGGCAUCACAAAUUUCAGUUUAUGGCAAGUAUGGAUGAUAGUUAUUUUGGUUCAGUAUGGCCUGAAAAAGGUCAUUACAGGGAAAAAGCCCGCAUAUAUGAAUCAGUUAGAAUGGGAUAAGCUUGAUAAGAAGACUUUGUCAGCAAUUCAGUUGUGCCUCACAAACAAUAUGUUGCAGGAGAUGUUUACAGAGAAAACGAUAGCAGCCUUAUAAAUGGAGUAAGUUAGAAACCCUAUACAUAACCAAGUUUCUAGCAGAUCGAUUGGUGUUGAAACAACACCUUUACACGUUUCGUAUAGCCGAAGGUGAGUACCUUAAUGGUCACAUUAGUCAAUUUGUUACUCUCUUGAAUGAUCUUAAAAAUGUCGAGGUUAAUAUAGAUGAUGAAGAUCAGACUAUGCUAUUAUUGUGCUAUUUGCCCCUCGUAUAAGUCUUUCAAGGAGACAUUGAUUUAUAGUAGAGAUAAACUCUCGUUCGAGGAAGCAAAAGGAAACUUGUUGAGCAAAGACAGACUUGACAAUGAGUUUGAUUCGGAUAGCAAGUCAAAUGAGCAAGCCUCGGUUUUGGUUGCAAGAAGCAAGAAAGAAUCAAAGUCAAGGAAUCGAGACAAAACAUGUGGCUACUGCAAGAAGUUAGGUCACAUUAAGACAAAGUGUUUGCAAAAAAUCAAAUGCUAGUUCAUUGUAUGCAUGACUUUUUUAGAUGUAUGAUUCUGAUUGGUACAUAAAUAUAUAAUAUACAUGACAUGCAUAUAUUUUUACAAUCAUGAAAAAGAGAAAGAAAGAAGUUAAUGAAAUUUUAAGCAAUGCAAGGAAAUAAUGUUUCAGUUGGUGCCUCAAGCCAAAAACACAUGUUUGUUCGAUGAUUUGAAAUCCAAAUAACCAUGUCUAUUUUGUAAACUUCCAUACAUGAAAAGUUAUGACUUGUCAAAAGGCACUUGUGUACUUAUUGGUACAUUAUAUAGAGUUGUUUGGUUGGAGUUGAAUUAAUUUAAUUCAUUCAAUCCAAUUUCUGAGUGAAAUUUUUAGUACAAAAAUAUUCUUUCUUUUUAAUGAUAUUCAAUUUGAGAUAUGAUAUUAUUUAUUUAUUUAAAUAAUGAUAUUAGUAACCAACAUUUGGAUAAUAUAGAUGAGACAUCAUUUUCAUUGUUAAAAAUGAAAGUUUGUAGAUGAUCAUAUAAUAUAAAUGAUUUUAGUUGUUGUUUUUAUUAAAUAACCUUAAGCUAAACGAGUUUUAUAAAUGAUUGCACAUUUUUUAUUCUAUAUCAUAAAGUUUGGACUAGAAGUGAUUUUGACUAGAAAAGAAUUAAGUUAUAUGCAUAUGUAUGGUUAAUUUUUCUAAUCAAUGUAGAAUAGUGGAAAAUUUGGCUUAUAUAAUAAUAUCAUUAUUCUGAUAUGAAAUUUUCUAGUGAGAAUAUAUAACGUGAUAAUCAUAUAUUUAAAAUCGAGAUCAUAUUGUGCAUAUUUAUAAUGGUGCAUAUGGUUUUUGUACAUGGCUUGGAUAUAAUCCAUGGUCUCACGAUUCUAUAAAAUUUGAGAUGUAGUAAAUUUCAAAAUUCACUUUCAAAGUCACGAAUAAAAAAAUAUCAUGAGUAUGAAAUUACAAUAUGACUGCUAUUUGACCCAUUUUUAGGUGAUGGACCUGAUUUUGAUCAUAGUCAGAAAAUAAUUGAUAAUACCCAUGGUGAAUAAAUGUAUGAUUUUAUAGUUGACUGGACAAUUGAUGGUAUAUUAGUGUGACUAUAUAUGUUACACCCUUGUAUAUAUAAGGUGUGUUGAGAAAAAUAAUGUUAUUUGACUAUGAAUGAAAAAAAUUAAAGUCAUCUACUGAUUUUGAAAAUAAACUAUGACAAAUAACAAAUAUGUUGUCCAGUUUCACCAAGAGAUUUAUGGCCUGUUAACAGCAACUUACUUUGUGAAGAAUACAUGAUUUAUGGUUUCAUAUAUUUGGUUAUUGUGAAAUUAAUUUCUUGAACAUUAAGAAAUAAAUAAACUAGUCAAAUAUGAUAAGAAAAGAUAAAGUGAUCACUAUAAUUUGACAAUAGUAAAAAUGAUAUUCUUGAUAGCAUUUUUUUGCUAAAAGAAUGAGUAAUUGAACAUAGUGAGGAUGUUGGUCUUCUAAAUUUUUAAGACAUAAAUAAAUAUUAUAAAGUUUCACCAUGUGAUAUAGAUAGUUAACAUAACUAUGUUGAAAUUUUGGAAAUUGAGAGAUGAGGUUCAAGCCUAUAAUAUUUGAGUCGCCAAUGAUGGAAACUCAACUCAACGCUUGGUAUAACGUCAAGUCCUGAGUUCAAUAAGGUAAAGUACAUCAUCAAUAUGUGGCUACUAGCACUAUAAAAAAUAUAUAUUACAAUGAUUAUCUUUGAAACGAUACCAAAUAUGAUAUUAAGAGAUGAUCCUAUCUAUCUACCAAAUCUCAUAAUUCAAUACUUUUAUGGAUUUUAGACGAAAAUUAAAAUUUAACUACUCAUAAUUAAAGAAUACUAAAAUAAAACUCAAAUAACAAUGGCCCUGGUCUCUUCGGGUGCGCCCCUCUCCGUACGUCUAUUAUUAUUAAAACCUAAUUAAGUAGCUGUGGCGGCCCCCAAUUUUGACGAAAAUAAUGAUAAUAAUAUCCAAUGACCCUAAAAAUAAGGGUAAUAUUAAAACCAAGAAAGAAAAUUUUAAAGAUAAAUAUUCUAAUCAAAAUUAGGUUAGUGGAAUUUAAAAAUAUAUAUUAGAGUUGAAUACAAAUAAUAAAUAACUUCAAAAUUCAUUAGAAAAUUUAAGAAUUUCAUCGCAAAUCGUAAUAAUUUUAUUUUAUUUAAUAUAUAUUUUUAAAUGGUUUGACUGUUAAGGGUGUUCACCGCCUUAGAUGUGAGUUGGGUUUAAGUCAUGUUAGUCGCGUUGAUUGUUCGAGUUUUACCAUAUUAUCAUAAUUCACCAAAAAAAUUCGAAAAUUGUGUAUAAAAUUGGUAUCUGCCUUUUUAAAUUAAACUUCGAUGCACUAAACACGGUAUUAAGUAAAUUGGUAUUGUUUAGAGCAUUUUGUUUUCGCUAGGAGUAGACUUUGACAAAGUAAAUGGAAUAAUGAAUAUAAAACUUCUCCAACAUAGUUAUAAAUAAGUGUAACACAUUUCCAUACUCACAGCCAACUUAAGAACAUGAAAUUCCUUCAACUUUCUGUGCUUCCAUUUCUUAUUGUGAUAUUGUCAUUGAAUGGGGCAACUUUAGCUCAUCCUUAUGGAGAUUUCCUUCAUUGCCUUUCUCUCGUAUAUCAAACUCUUCUACUAUUUCUAAAGUUAUUUACACCCAAAAUAAUCCCUCCUAUUCAUCGGUUUUGAAUGCUUCUAUUCAUAAUUCCAGGUUCUCUACACCAACCACCCCUAAACCCUAUGCCAUUAUUACACCACUCAAAACAUCCCAUGUCCAAUCAACAAUUUAUUGUUCCAAAAACCAUGGCUUCCAACUUAGGAUUCGAAGUGGUGGUCAUGAUGUUGAGGGUGUUUCUUAUGUUUCUCAGGUUCCAUUUGUCAUCCUUGAUUUGGUCAACUUUCGAGAUGUCAAAGUUGACACAAAAAAUGAAGUUGCCUGGGUUCAAUCUGGUGCAACUACAGGUGAAUUAUAUUAUGGGAUUGCUUCGAAGACACAGACGCUCGGCUUUCCUGCUGGUAUUUGCCACACUAUAGGCAUUGGUGGGCAUUUAAGUGGGGGUGGAUUUGGCAUAUUGGGCCGCAAAUAUGGUCUUGCUGCUGACCAUAUAAUUGAUGCUAAAAUGAUUGAUGCUAAUGGAAGGGUCUUUCAUCGAAAAUCCAUGGGUGAAGAUUUGUUUUGGGCUAUCCGAGGAGGUGGAGGAAAUACCUUUGGAGUUGUUGUUGCUUGGAAAAUAAAGUUAGUCGCUGUUCCACCUGUUGUAACUGUGUUUACAGUUAACAAGAACUUGGAACAAAAUGCAACCAAAAUCUUCCAUCGAUGGCAAAACAUUGCUCACAAGUUACCCAAGGAUUUAUUUACGUCUGUUUGGGUAAUGAAGGUGAAUUCCAGUCAAGUAGGGAAGAAAACAGUUCAAGCUUCUUUUAAAGGCAUGUUUCUUGGUAGGAUUGAUGUGUUGAUUCCAUUGAUCCAAUACUCGUUUCCAGAGCUAGGACUUGCCAGAGAGAAUUGUACCGAAAUGAGUUGGGUUCAAUCUGUUCUUUACUAUGGAGCACUUCCAAUUGAACCUGUGGAGAUUUUGCUUAAUAGAAGUGCUCUUCCAAGAUUAAGUCUCAAAGCCAAAACGGACUACAUCAGGGAACCGAUGUCCGAAACUGGAAUCGAAGGGUUCAUGAACAUGUUUCUUGAGGAAGGAACUGACUUUGCUAUAACGAUGAUAGAGGCUUUCGGAGGCAAAAUGGAUGAAAUCCGGGAAAGUGAAAUACCUUUCCCACAUAGAUCAGGC